UGGAAAGAAUAAAAGACAGGAUUUUGCAUUAGACUAACGGUGAAAUGGUUUAAAUAACAAAACAAACAAAAACAAACCAGGAUACAAUCCCGAAACAGAUCUGGACAAAACUAAACAAACUGCAAUGACAAAAAUGAAAAGAUAAGAAGGUUUGACACAAGACAAUAUCUGGGUUACAACCCUAAGAAUAAUCCGGACAAUAUAAAUGACAACAAAAUAAGCCACCAAAAGCUUCUCUCCUAUUAACCAAGGAACGGAGCGUCCUCCCACUUAUCAAACAUGGCAUCUUAGCCAUUGAGCUUCGCAUCAAUAUUGCCAAGACCAUUACCAACUUCAAUAUCAUCAACCUCGGUCAACAAAUUCCCAAUAGGAUUCGAGUGCUCCAUGUCAUCAGGCCUCAUCCCCACAAAGUGUGCAUCAUGAUGUGCAGGUAAAAGAUUUUGCGUGAUAUUCUGGGUGUCCUUGUCUUAGAUUACAAUCAGGUUUUCCUGGAUCUUGUGUUCCCGGCUUACCGCAAACCAACCACCUUAACUUUCUUUGCUUCAAAACAAAACAGGUUAGAAUGUCCUUAGUCGGUCCUCAUUAUUAACAUCUUUUCUUUCUUUUUUUUCUUUAUUUUUUUCUUCAUUUUUUUUGUUGUGGUCGAAUCUUAUGGAGAUUGCCUACGUAUCAUGACCCCGCAUGAAUCAGACCUUGCGUAGUUCGGGCCCAUAAAAGGUAAUCCACAAUAAAACGUUUGAGCUAUCACACCUCCCUUUUCAGGCACCGCAAGAGGGUACAAAGGAAUUUUUCCAAUUAAAGGACAAUCGAAACGGAAUUAUUAUUAAAGAAUCAGAAUCACCACUUGGGAAAAUUUAUGGUGUCCCAAGUCACUGGUUUAUUCCCGAAUUGAGGAAAAUAUUGACUCUGUUUAACAGUCCACGCAUCAAAAAUCCAGAUAAGGAAUUAUGUUAACCCGGGAGAAGGUCUUAGGCAUUCCCGAGUUCCGUGGUUCUAGCACGUUCGCUCAACUGUCAUAUUUAGCUUAUUUAUCUGAUUUAUAACAUGCUUUAACUUAUGUGCAAAUUUUAACCUUUAGCCGCUUUUAAUAUUAUUAUUAUUAUUUUAACAAAGAAUUGCAACGUUGUAAAAAUGUAUCUCGAACCACGUCACAUCAAUGUACCCAUGAUUAUCGACACAUUUCGACUCUGUUGAGAUUUAGAUUUAGGUCACAUAGAUGUGCACCCGAGUUUAAGAAGGUAAAUUAUUAAAAUACGCACCUAAAACAACUACGCAUUGCGAUUUACGAGAGCCAUGAAAUUUACUACCUGGCACGCCUCAAACUACAGAUAUUCAGAAUUCUCUUAAAUUAAUUUUGAGAUCAAUACAAGGCUAUGAGAUGCAGAAGUCAUCAAGUAAAGUUACGUGAAAGGAAACAAAAAUGGAUGAUUUGCGAGAUUAAGUUUUUGCAUCUGGGGUCAUAAAACACACGAAAAAGGGAGCCAUAAUUGUUAAUGGGCGGCAUGGGAACUGAAACUCUUUAUGAAUGAUUAAAUUCAUUUCCAUAUUUAAGGCCUCAAUAAAUCAUACCCAGAACUAAUCACGCCAACUCAAUGCAUUCAUCUCGUCUUGUAAGUGAGUUAUAUUGACAUGUAUUUAAUUUAUAUUUCAAAAUGUUGAGUUAACUUUAGAGAAAUUCAACUAUUAGUUACCUAAAGUUUUCACAUGCAAUGCUUAAAAAAAUACAACUGAAACACAUUUCAAGAACGUGAACACCCCAUACUUCCUUCGAAUAGACCAUUAAUCGUCUAAUGACAUAAAACAUCUAUAUUCCAAUUUUGCAUAAUCCGACUAGACCAUAACUUGUUCAAGAUUAAAUCCAUAACCAUUCCCUAAGGAGGACACCUCUCUGUUUCACACCACAAUCCCAAUUCCAGAAUCAAGAUCAAAUUUGAACAGAUCGUACACUAUCAAGAGUGACAACAAAUCUACCUAGCAAGAAUAUAAUAGAGGGGCUAACAACUAAAAAAACUACAAAUUGCAACAAAGAUGUAUAUAAUUAUACCUUAUUCAAACAUGACUGGACCUCACGCAACAAUCGAUUCUGUAUUUUAACGGAGUAUCUCAAUAUUUGAGCAUGAUAGACUGCACAUCAUUCGCUUUCAUCUCCAACUUAUAAUUAUCAGAAUAGUUGUUCUAUACAAAAUCACCUACCAAACCAGAACAGCCUAUUUCAAACAAAAUUAUAGCUAAACACAGACGUUUGAAGCAGUAUGUUGCUGCAGUACCUUGAAAGUUCCAAAAUAACAUACAUUAAACUUAACAUGGAUUAAUCACAACACUUAACUAAUGGUCAAUAUUUUUAUCGUCCCUUGCCUCGACAGUCCAAAAUCAACUACAACAAGAAAUUCUGAAGCAAAUGAAAUUACUGCAAAGGCUAUGCUAAUUUCAAUAGAGACAGGUUGGCAUGAUAAUUCUCAUGUUGAGUAUACAACAAAAUAAAUAACUGAAACUAAACUAAUAUUUGAAUAUGCAGAAGUUACAUUUGGAAAUCCUGAUUUUAUUUCAAUUUAUAUCAAACUUCAUGUGAGAUGAAUCGAGGAACAUGUACCUGGAAAAUGAAAUGUAGGAAAGCAAAGGAUAAGUCAGUGACCAAAUAGCACAGCAUAUGAAGCUCAGCAGCCAAGCAUAACCAGAAAAUGAUUCGAAAUACUUCAAAACCAAUCUCAAUUGAGCAAGUAAUCACAGCAGCCUUCACAAACCAAACUCUUUUGAAGCAAAACCCAAGCUCAAAAAUUAACCCAUUUAGACAAGAGGGGUUGCUCUGAUGGUAAGCAACCCCCACUUCCAACCGAGAGGUUGUGUAUAUAUUAAUUAAUGAUACAAAUGUUGUUGAGAUCAAUCUAGUGACAGAUAAAACAAAAAUUUAUAUGAGCAAAAAUAGGUAAGAGAUUAAUUAUUAAAUACAUACCAGGAGAAGCACUAGGAGUGGUGGUACCUAAAAUCGAACCAUAGGAAAUAAGUCAAAUACAUAAAUCUUCACCCUCAUAUGUAAAAUUCAUGGGGUAUUAAAAAACUCUCACACUGUCACUACUCAAGAAUAUGUUCUCAAUUCAUCUCUUCUUCCUCAAAAUACCCUAUAUGAUAGAUAAUAAGAGGUUGCUAUGACAGUAAGCAACCCUCACUUCCAAUGGAGAGGUUCGAGUCUCCUCAAUAGUAAUGUGGGAAGUUCUUGGAGGGAAGGAUACCGGGGGUCUAUUUGGAAACAACCUCUCUACCCUAUGGUAGGGGUAAGGUCUGCGUACAUACUACCCUCCCCAGACCCCACUAAGUGGGAUUACACUGGGUUGUUGUUGUUGUUUAAUUCUCAAUGAAUCAGAAAUUGCUCAUUUUUGUAAACUGAAAACUUAAAGCAUCAGAGAAUGGAUUCAAUGCAACAAUAAAACAGUUCAGUUGUUGGAAAUUUCUGAAGCUUUCUAUGUUCUAAACUCUCUCUGUUUUCAGAUUGCCUGUGUCUCUCUCUAUCAAAUUUUCAGAGUGAUUUAUCAGUGUAUCUCUCUCUUAUCAGAUUAUAUUUUGCC
RNAcentral lists this long non-coding RNA (3560 nucleotides) under Nicotiana benthamiana. RNAcentral describes it as "long non-coding RNA (NBEN_LNC033651)". Lineage: Eukaryota; Viridiplantae; Streptophyta; Magnoliopsida; Solanales; Solanaceae. The record is from RNAcentral.